This 465-nucleotide ribosomal RNA is filed under the name Vreelandella stevensii. RNAcentral's name for it is "partial 16S ribosomal RNA". It matches the Rfam family "Bacterial small subunit ribosomal RNA", at positions 338 to 795 of the family's 1533-position model. The record is from RNAcentral. Lineage: Bacteria; Pseudomonadati; Pseudomonadota; Gammaproteobacteria; Oceanospirillales; Halomonadaceae.
CCUACGGGUGGCAGCAGUGGGGAAUAUUGGACAAUGGGGGCAACCCUGAUCCAGCCAUGCCGCGUGUGUGAAGAAGGCCCUCGGGUUGUAAGGCACUUUCAGUGAGGAAGAACGCCUGGUGGUUAAUACCCAUCAGGAAAGACAUCACUCACAGAAGAAGCACCGGCUAACUCCGUGCCAGCAGCCGCGGUAAUACGGAGGGUGCGAGCGUUAAUCGGAAUUACUGGGCGUAAAGCGCGCGUAGGUGGCUUGAUAAGCCGGUUGUGAAAGCCCCGGGCUCAACCUGGGAACGGCAUCCGGAACUGUCAAGCUAGAGUGCAGGAGAGGAAGGUAGAAUUCCCGGUGUAGCGGUGAAAUGCGUAGAGAUCGGGAGGAAUACCAGUGGCGAAGGCGGCCUUCUGGACUGACACUGACACUGAGGUGCGAAAGCGUGGGUAGCAAACAGGAUUAGAUACCCCAGUAGUC